GUCUGUGUGGCCGCGAUUCUUAUGGACAACAACGAGGUGGCGGCCAUCUUGUUUCGCAUGAAUGCAGGCAGCGGUUUGGGCAUGAAUCUCAUGGAACUGAAAUCGUAUACAGAAACUCCCGAACACCGCUGGACUUCCAUCAUCGCCUGCGUUCGUUUCUAUUCAGCUUAGAAGGACACUGUUCGGUUAGAUCAUUCGUCUAGAUGAAGGGAACAAGCUCCAGG
Pelobates cultripes (western spadefoot toad) is the source of this 224-nucleotide non-coding RNA. The record is from the annotation of a GenBank genome assembly. NCBI's taxonomy places the organism in Eukaryota, Metazoa, Chordata, Amphibia, Anura, Pelobatidae.